AUUGAACGCUGGCGGCAGGCUUAACACAUGCAAGUCGAGCGGAGAGAGGUAGCUUGCUACUGAUCUUAGCGGCGGACGGGUGAGUAAUGCUUAGGAAUCUGCCUAUUAGUGGGGGACAACAUUUCGAAAGGAAUGCUAAUACCGCAUACGUCCUACGGGAGAAAGCAGGGGAUCUUCGGACCUUGCGCUAAUAGAUGAGCCUAAGUCGGGUUAGCUAGUUGGUGGGGUAAAGGCCUACCAAGGCGACGAUCUGUAGCGGGUCUGAGAGGAUGAUCCGCAACACUGGGACUGAGACACGGCCCAGACUCCUACGGGAGGCAGCAUUGGGGAAUAUUGGACAAUUGGCGCAAGCCUGAUCCAGCCAUGCCGCGUGUGUGAAGAAGGCCUUAUGGUUGUAAAGCACUUUAAGCGAGGAGGAGGCUACUUUAGUUAAUACCUAGGGAUAGUGGACGUUACUCGCAGAAUAAGCACCGGCUAACUCUGUGCAGCAGCCGCCGUAA
RNAcentral lists this ribosomal RNA (500 nucleotides) under uncultured bacterium. RNAcentral's name for it is "partial 16S ribosomal RNA". It matches the Rfam family "Bacterial small subunit ribosomal RNA", at positions 30 to 523 of the family's 1533-position model. The record is from RNAcentral.